This 254-nucleotide ribosomal RNA is filed under the name uncultured bacterium. Its description in RNAcentral is "partial 16S ribosomal RNA". It matches the Rfam family "Bacterial small subunit ribosomal RNA", at positions 524 to 776 of the family's 1533-position model. RNAcentral also lists the same sequence under 1 other name. The record is from RNAcentral.
UACGAAGGGGGCGAGCGUUGUUCGGAAUUACUGGGCGUAAAGGGCGCGCAGGCGGCCUCUCGAAGUCAGAUGUGAAAGCCCCGGGCUCAACCUGGGAAUGGCAUUUGAUACUCGAGGGCUUGAGUACGGGAGAGGAGAGUGGAAUUCCCAGUGUAGAGGUGAAAUUCGUAGAUAUUGGGAAGAACACCGGUGGCGAAGGCGGCUCUCUGGACCGUAACUGACGCUGAGGCGCGAAAGCGUGGGGAGCAAACAGG